CGUUUCCGUAGGUGAACCUGCGGAAGGAUCAUUGAAUAAUGCUAAGCCUACUGAUAGGGUCUUCUGAUCCUAUUGGUAGGUGAACCACACGCACACAAUGUUUGGUGUCCGACGUAAAGCUUGCCUUUCGGUGGGCUUUCAAUUUUCACACCAGUUGAACACUGUGUCAAACCAAACUCUGAAGUUGUGGCUGCUAUUAACUGGCAGUCUUAACCAAAUACAACUCUCAACAACGGAUAUCUUGGCUCUCGCAACGAUGAAGAACGCAGCGAAAUGCGAUACGUAGUGUGAAUUGCAGAAUUCCGUGAACCAUCGAAUCUUUGAACGCAUAUUGCGCUCAACCCUUCGGGGAAGAGCAUGUCUGCCUCAGCGUCGGUUUUUACCCUCAUCCCUCCUAUUUUUAAUAGGCCUGCCGGUUUGCUCAAACCAGCAAUUGGGAUGGAUCUGGCUUUCCCAACCAUCCGUGGUUGGGUUGGCUGAAGCACAGAGGCUUAAGCUAGGACCCGAUAUGGGCUCAACUGGAUAGGUAGAGCAAUCUACACGAAGUUGUGCUUGUGGACCGUGCUAGGAGCCAAGCAGGAAACUACUCAUGGGUUCGACCUGAGCUCAGGCAAGGCUACCCGCUGAACUUAAGCAUA
This 638-nucleotide ribosomal RNA is filed under the name Desmodesmus sp. Tow8/18T-25W. Its description in RNAcentral is "eukaryotic LSU rRNA". The stretch from base 222 to 375 matches the Rfam family "5.8S ribosomal RNA". The record is from RNAcentral. Lineage: Eukaryota; Viridiplantae; Chlorophyta; Chlorophyceae; Sphaeropleales; Scenedesmaceae.